UAGUUAGCUAGCGACCACAGCCUCGGGUCUAUCGAGCCAGCACCCGAGCUGUCAGACCCGUGGGCCGGUGAAAUGUCACAGGGCUAACGUUACGUCUCCGGCGUCUCUCGGGGCCCCGCUGACGGGUCCAGCAGACCAGAAAAUACCGGCUAGGAAACGCGAAAGGGCAAACAGCUGUUAAUGCACCAACGUCUGAGAGGUGUAUUCAUCACCAUUAGCGAGCGACUAAAAGACGCAACGCUAGCGGGCUAACUCGGCUACUUUAUCAAUAUCAGCAUGUUUACAGCUCUAGAAAAGUUUCCAAUUGAAAGUUAAAAAUGACCUGAACAAAUAACAAAAAAAUGCUGAAAGAUUACCUGGACAAGCUAAAUGGAAUAGAGAAGUCCACUGAAGACAUUUCAGUGGUACUUGAUCCUGAAUGUGAGAAAGGGAUACCAACCCAUACCGAAGACCCAGCUGAAGAAAGCCCCCAGAGAACAAACUGUGGAUAAACUGGUGCAGGUUUAUGGGGAAGAUGGUGCUCUGGAGACCACAGUGGAUAUUCUCUUCAGGAUGAAACAUAAUUACCUUGCAGAAAAGUUAACUGAAGGGAUGCCCUUGUGGCAUUAUACAUGACACUGAACCUAUAAUGAAAGCUACAGAGAGAGAAGUCAAGUUGAUCCAUCAGGAGGUCACAGAAAUGACUCAUAUAAGGGUUGCAGGGGGCUGGAGCCAAUCCCAGCUGGCAUCGGGUGAAAGGCAGGGUACACUCUGGACAGACUCCAAGAACAUCAAGGAAAAGCAGAAAGAUAGAAAAGAGAAGAAGAUUAAGGACAACUUUGAGGAUCUUCAUCUCUUCAUACAGAGAAGAGGCAACCAGAAUAGCGGCUUUAGAAGAUGAAGAGACUCAGAAGAUUUGUAUGAUGCAGUCGCUUGCAGAGAUGAGCAGAAACACAUUCUCACUUUCUGACAGUGUAAAAAACAUGGUAGGCUUAUGUGCUUACAAUUCGUUUAUACAGGUAGUUUUAAAAUUCAGGAAAGGUCUAAUUCAUGUAAAUCUGAAGACUUCUAAUGCAUUUCUUGUUUUACUUGCAGACCUUUAGGACUGAAAUGGAAAGGUGCAUAUUAUUCAUUGUGUUUUCAUUUUCUUGUGUUUCUGAGCCUUUGCCUUCAGUAAAGUUAUUAAAGGAUUGAAACUAUUUCUGUCUUAAAACAACUUUCACCAUAAUGAUUAUA
Micropterus dolomieu (smallmouth bass) is the source of this 1215-nucleotide long non-coding RNA. RefSeq lists it as uncharacterized. The record is from RefSeq and is a predicted model, not a curated record. Lineage: Eukaryota; Metazoa; Chordata; Actinopteri; Centrarchiformes; Centrarchidae. The transcript is spliced from 5 exons.